Molecule: long non-coding RNA, 871 nt
Organism: Neodiprion fabricii
Lineage: Eukaryota; Metazoa; Arthropoda; Insecta; Hymenoptera; Diprionidae
Exons: 2
Source: RefSeq, a predicted model, not a curated record
AGUAUCUGAAAACCAGAAGCCGAAAGUGAUAGUCGACAAAAGUAAUCAUAUCCACAAAAAUGGAAGAUGUGAAGAAUUUUCUCCGCGUACUCAAACGAUUAGGCAGCACUUUAAGAAGCCUCGAAUUUUUUCGUACCACACGAUGUCGACUGGGUUAAAAAGAGAUCGGUUCUGGCCAGCUGAGAUCUGGCAAGAGCAGGGAUCAUCGAAAGGUGCGAUAUCUGAACGGCCGCCCAUCCGGUUUGAAAUACGGAUAUACUGGCAACGUAGACGAAGGUCGCGGAUGGAUUUCUUACGUCCAAGAACGUCCCGAAGAUCACGGGGAAGCUCAGGCUGACCAAGACCGAGCCCAACACGUGCCAAGCUUUUUUACUGCCAUAGCGAUCUACCAGGAUGCCGAAGACCGGUGUCAUAAGUGCGUCCACGAUUUGCCCUGAAGAAUGAAGAACUCCGAUCGGUAAUGAGAUAUUUUUUUCACAGUUCAGAAAUGGUCAUUUUUAAAGUACACAAAAACAAUAUGGAACCAAGGUCUAAACGGUGGAACUAAAGUUGUUGGAAUCGAAUUUUGUUGAAAGAAUCUCAACUGAUUACUUUGGGAAAAAUAAUUUCGAAUGCCACUGUUUUAAGUACAAAAAGUUUAUACAAUUCUUUUGCAAAUCUGGAAAAAUCUCAGUCCCCUUUUGAUUUUGUAAUACCAAAAUCGUAGCCAUUGUUUGUGUUAUUCGCAUGAUUUUAUUUAUAAAUGAUUAAUUGACCAACAAACCUCGUGAAAUCGGGAGAAUCGACAGGUUUCCAUAAAUCAAAAAAGCUCAUAAAACAGCAAAUUAUUGAUCUCAGCUUAUCAAAACUUUGGUUUUUCUUUCACUUCGAA